GACGAACCAUGCAAACGUUAUUCGGAAUUACUGGGCUUAAAGCGUGCGUAGGCGGCUCAGAAAGUUGGGUGUGAAAUGCCUCGGCUCAACCGAGGAAUUGCGCCCAAAACUACUGGGCUUGAGGGAGUUAGAGGUGAGCGGAACUCACGGUGGAGCGGCGAAAUGCGUUGAUAUCGUGAGGAACACCGGAGGCGAAAGCGGCUCACUGGGGCUUAUCUGACGCUGAGGCACGAAAGCUAGGGGAGCAAACGGG
RNAcentral lists this ribosomal RNA (253 nucleotides) under uncultured bacterium. RNAcentral's name for it is "partial 16S ribosomal RNA". It matches the Rfam family "Bacterial small subunit ribosomal RNA", at positions 524 to 776 of the family's 1533-position model. The record is from RNAcentral.